AGAGUUUGAUCAUGGCUCAGAACGAACGCUGGCGGUAUGCCUAACACAUGCAAGUCGAACGCGAACGGAAUCUUCGGAUUCCAAGUAGAGUGGCGCACGGGUGAGUAACACGUGGAUAAUCUGCCCUAAGGUCAGGGAUAACACUUCGAAAGGGGUGCUAAUACCAGAUAAGCUCACGACUUCUUCGGAGGCUGUGAGAAAAGAUUUAUUGCCUUAGGAUGAGUCCGCGGUCCAUUAGCUAGUUGGUGGGGUAAUGGUCUACCAAGGCUGCGAUGGAUAGCUGGUCUGAGAGGAUGAUCAGCCACACUGGAACUGAGACACGGUCCAGACUCCUACGGGAGGCAGCAGUGGGGAAUUUUGCGCAAUGGGGGAAACCCUGACGCAGCAAUACCGCGUGAAGGAUGAAGGCCCUUGGGUCGUAAACUUCUGUCAGAGGGGAAGAAAUACUCGCAAGAGUGCUGACGGUACCCUCAAAGGAAGCACCGGCUAACUCCGUGCCAGCAGCCGCGGUAAUACGGAGGGUGCAAGCGUUGUUCGGAAUUAUUGGGCGUAAAGAGCAUGUAGGCGGACUGUUAAGUCCGGUGUGAAAGCCCGGGGCUCAACCCCGGAAGUGCAUUGGAUACUGGCAGUCUUGAGUAUGGGAGAGGGAAGUGGA
RNAcentral lists this ribosomal RNA (655 nucleotides) under uncultured bacterium. RNAcentral describes it as "bacterial SSU rRNA". It matches the Rfam family "Bacterial small subunit ribosomal RNA", at positions 8 to 665 of the family's 1533-position model. The record is from RNAcentral.